AUGCACGCUGGCGGCGUGCCUAAUCCAUGCAAGUCGAGCGAACAGACGAGGAGCUUGCUCCUCUGACGUUAGCGGCGGACGGGUGAGUAACACGUGGAUAACCUACCUAUAAGACUGGGAUAACUUCGGGAAACCGGAGCUAAUACCGGAUAAUAUAUUGAACCGCAUGGUUCAAUAGUGAAAGACGGUUUUGCUGUCACUUAUAGAUGGAUCCGCGCCGCAUUAGCUAGUUGGUAAGGUAACGGCUUACCAAGGCAACGAUGCGUAGCCGACCUGAGAGGGUGAUCGGCCACACUGGAACUGAGACACGGUCCAGACUCCUACGGGAGGCAGCAGUAGGGAAUCUUCCGCAAUGGGCGAAAGCCUGACGGAGCAGCGCCGCGUGAGUGAUGAAGGUCUUCGGAUCGUAAAACUCUGUUAUUAGGGAAGAACAAAUGUGUAAGUAACUAUGCACGUCUUGACGGUACCUAAUCAGAAAGCCACGGCUAACUACGUG
This 496-nucleotide ribosomal RNA is filed under the name uncultured bacterium. RNAcentral describes it as "partial 16S ribosomal RNA". It matches the Rfam family "Bacterial small subunit ribosomal RNA", at positions 29 to 507 of the family's 1533-position model. The record is from RNAcentral.